Molecule: non-coding RNA, 100 nt
Organism: Plectosphaerella cucumerina
Lineage: Eukaryota; Fungi; Ascomycota; Sordariomycetes; Glomerellales; Plectosphaerellaceae
Source: the annotation of a GenBank genome assembly
GGUCGCUUAACUCAGUUGGUUAGAGUGUCGUACUAAUAACCGGUGUCCUGCACCUGGUCCUUACAUGCGAAAGUCGCCAGUUCGAUCCUGGUAGUGACCA